CCCUCUCGGGUUACCGAAUUCAGACAAACUCCGAAUGCCAAUUAAUUUAACUUGGGAGUCAGAACAUGGGUGAUAAGGUCCGUGUUCGAAAGGGAAACAGCCCAGACCACCAGCUAAGGUCCCAAAAUAUAUGUUAAGUGGAAAAGGAUGUGGCGUUGCCCAGACAACUAGGAUGUUGGCUUAGAAGCAGCCAUCAUUUAAAGAGUGCGUAAUAGCUCACUAGUCGAGUGACACUGCGCCGAAAAUGUACCGGGGCUAAACAUAUUACCGAAGCUGUGGAUUGUCCUUUGGACAAUGGUAGGAGAGCGUUCUAAGGGCGUUGAAGCAUGAUCGUAAGGACAUGUGGAGCGCUUAGAAGUGAGAAUGCCGGUGUGAGUAGCGAAAGACGGGUGAGAAUCCCGUCCACCGAUUGACUAAGGUUUCCAGAGGAAGGCUCGUCCGCUCUGGGUUAGUCGGGUCCUAAGCUGAGGCCGACAGGCGUAGGCGAUGGAUAACAGGUUGAUAUUCCUGUACCACCUAUAAUCGUUUUAAUCGAUGGGGGGACGCAGUAGGAUAGGCGAAGCGUGCGAUUGGAUUGCACGUCUAAGCAGUAAGGCUGAGUAUUAGGCAAAUCCGGUACUCGUUAAGGCUGAGCUGUGAUGGGGAGAAGACAUUG
RNAcentral lists this ribosomal RNA (655 nucleotides) under Staphylococcus aureus. Its description in RNAcentral is "bacterial LSU rRNA". It matches the Rfam family "Bacterial large subunit ribosomal RNA", at positions 926 to 1581 of the family's 2925-position model. Lineage: Bacteria; Bacillati; Bacillota; Bacilli; Caryophanales; Staphylococcaceae. The record is from RNAcentral.